AUUGAACGCUGGCGGCAGGCCUAACACAUGCAAGUCGAGCGGAAGAAGGGAGCUUGCUCGUGGAUUCAGCGGCGGACGGGGGAGUAAAGCCUAGGAAUCUGCCUGGUUGUGGGGGAUAACGUCCGGAGACGGGCGCGAAUACCGCAGACGUGCGGAGGGAGAGAGUGGGGGGUGUUCGGACGUUACGCUAUCAGAGGAGGCUAGGGCGGAUUAGCUAGUUGGUGGGGGAAAGGCCUACUAAGGCGACGAUCCGUAACUGGUCGGAGAGGAGGGUCAGUCACACUGGAACUGAGACACGGUCCAGAGUCCUACGGGAGGGAGCAGUGUGGAACAUUGGACAACGGGCGAAAACCUGACCCAGCCAUCCCGCGUGUGUUAAGAAAGUCCUCCGAUUGUAAAGCCCUUUAUGUUGGUGGAAACCGCUGUCGCUUAAUACCUUGCUGUUUUGACGUUACCAACAGAAUAAGCACCGGCUAACUACGUG
RNAcentral lists this ribosomal RNA (484 nucleotides) under uncultured bacterium. Its description in RNAcentral is "partial 16S ribosomal RNA". It matches the Rfam family "Bacterial small subunit ribosomal RNA", at positions 29 to 507 of the family's 1533-position model. The record is from RNAcentral.